Long non-coding RNA from Beta vulgaris subsp. vulgaris (sugar beet), 287 nucleotides. RefSeq lists it as uncharacterized. The transcript is spliced from 3 exons. The record is from RefSeq and is a predicted model, not a curated record. Lineage: Eukaryota; Viridiplantae; Streptophyta; Magnoliopsida; Caryophyllales; Amaranthaceae.
UGAGCGAGAAAGUGAUGGAAUCAAUGCAAGGGAAUCCCAAAAAGCAAUUGACCAAGAAGAUGGCUCUAUGGAGAAAAAAGGCGAAAGCAUGCUAACAGGAGAAAAGGAGGCAUCUAAUGAAACAGGAAAUGCAAAAACGAAGAAGUCAUAUAAAACCAAAACACCAAGAGGUCCUACAAGAAAUUUACAACUGGCUAAAAUGAGACCCGGUGAGAAGAUAAAGGUAGAUUUUGAUGUUAGUGGUCAACCAAUAGGUGUCAACAGAGCUAAGCUGUCAAGUUACUGUG